UACAGAGGGUGCGAGCGUUAACCGGAAUUACUGGGCGUAAAGGGUGCGUAGGUGGUUGUUUAAGUCUGUUGUGAAAGCCCCGGGCUCAACCUGGGAAUGGCAAUGGAUACUGGACAGCUAGAGUGCGGUAGAGGGUAGUGGAAUUCCCGGUGUAGCAGUGAAAUGCGUAGAGAUCGGGAGGAACACCAGUGGCGAAGGCGGCUACCUGGACCAGCACUGACACUGAAGCACGAAAGCGUGGGGAGCAAACAGG
Molecule: ribosomal RNA, 253 nt
Filed under: uncultured bacterium
Lineage: Bacteria
Description: partial 16S ribosomal RNA
Rfam family: Bacterial small subunit ribosomal RNA
Source: RNAcentral